Molecule: long non-coding RNA, 1665 nt
Organism: Cyprinus carpio carpio
Lineage: Eukaryota; Metazoa; Chordata; Actinopteri; Cypriniformes; Cyprinidae
Source: Ensembl
GCGUAGUUGUCUUAGCAAAGGAAGAGACGGGACAGAACUAUACUUUAGAGUGUUUCUGAGUAAACUAAGUAAAGAAAAAAAAACUUUUUAAUGAUUUUUCUAGUUUUGUUAAUCUGGGUAACUUGAUUCACAGAUAUUUAAAGUUACAUUUGGCUACAUUGUAUUAGAUUGUACAAUGAAACUAAGCAAGACAAACCUGAUCUCGCUCUUCACACUGAUUCUGGUAUUUCACACCAUAGCUGUACAAGCAGAAGGUAAUGUACCUGCUCGUUACGUUUAACCAAAAAUGUCAAAUUAAUAGUGUACCUGUAGCUCAUGAUUGUUUUCAUUUACUCAUCAUGAUGUCUUUCCAAACUUGGAAUGAUUUUCCUUCUUCUGAAUCAGUAUUUUGGUCUCAUUAUAAAUCUUGAAAAAACCUUACACAAGAUCAAAUCAUUUUAGAAGCAACAAUUGAUCUAUCUGUAAGCCCCUCCCCUUGAACGCAGAUGAGCCAAUGGCAGUCGAGUAUCAAUUGCACUUGGAGUGCAAAUUAAACAUCGUUAAGUUUCAGUGCUAUAGAGAAACAUUGGAAGAUCUGAAGCUCUCAUUGAUUUGGUGUUUAUGCUACAAAAAUGGUAAAAUGAUGUGCCUGGGGCACUUGUAACACUGAUUCCAGUUAUCCCAAGCGGAUAGGCAACAGAAUUUUGAAUUUAUAUUAUUAUUCAAUGCUCAUUUUCUAGUUGUCAUUCUCUCAUUAAGUUACAAUUUUCAUCUGCUCAAGCAGAAUGUUAAUGUCAUCUUGUGUAUCCGCAAGGUAUCUCUGGCUAAAACUAGCUAAAGUUAAAGUUAAUGAGUCCAUGCUAAUGUACAAACCUAAAUAGUGAGCUGUAUACAUUCCAUAUAUAUCAUUCCUAUCCCAUUUUCUGUCUUUGCAUGAUAGUUUCACUUUCCUUUUCAGCUUCUCAUGAUGAUGAUGAUGAUAAUGAUGAGGCUCUGAGGAUCCUGGUUGUGGGAGUCAGAGGUCAGUCCAGAUUCAGUGCUGCAGAUCUUCUGUCAGGAAGGAAAGACGGAGGACAGGAGGACAGAGAGAUUGUAAAGACUCCAGUAAUUACAGACGGGGCUCGUAGAAUGAUGCUGGUCACUGGACCAAACCUCUGUGAGGAGGACACAGAGAGACAGACCUUCACAACAGCGCUGUUUCUCUCGUCUCCUGGACCUCACGCCGUUCUAAUGGUCCUGAAUCUGGAAGAUCAACAAUCACAACAGUGUGAUAUUGAGAAACGAGCCCAGGAGCUGCUGGGAGCAGAAGUCCUGCAGUACUGCAUUGUUCUUCUGCUCCAAAAUCACCAGGAACCUUUGACAGGAGCCUCCAGAGGGAUUGCUGGAGAAAUGAUCAACGCAUGUGGAGGAAGAUUUCACAUCAUAAGAGACUCUGAACCAAAACCUGCUCAAAGAACAACUCUUAUAGCAGAAAUACACAAGUUAGUUUGGUUCAAUGAUCACAGAUUUCACUCAGUAUUGAGACAACUGUUAGAAGCUGAAAAACUGGAGCUUUUACAAAGGCUAAAAGAAAUAGAUGGCAAACUUGGAAAAAGUAAGGUCUCAUCUGCAAUGUGUGACAGUUUAGGUGUGGUCGGAUGGAGUCUGAUAAUUUCACUGAUUGCUCUUGUUUAUCAUUUGAGUUAA